RNAcentral lists this ribosomal RNA (522 nucleotides) under uncultured Glomus. RNAcentral describes it as "SSU rRNA". It matches the Rfam family "Eukaryotic small subunit ribosomal RNA", at positions 569 to 1092 of the family's 1831-position model. Lineage: Eukaryota; Fungi; Glomeromycota; Glomeromycetes; Glomerales; Glomeraceae. The record is from RNAcentral.
AGCAGCCGCGGUAAUUCCAGCUCCAAUAGCGUAUAUUAAAGUUGUUGCGGUUAAAAAGCUCGUAGUUGAAUUUCGGGGUCAGUAGGCUGGUCGUGCCACGGGUAUGUACUGGUCUUACUGAUUCCUCCUUCCUGAUGAACCGUAAUGCCAUUAAUUUGGUGUUGCGGGGAAUCUGGACUGUUACUUUGAAAAAAUUAGAGUGUUUAAAGCAGGCUAACGCUUGAAUACAUUAGCAUGGAAUAAUGAAAUAGGACGAUCGAUCCUAUUUUGUUGGCUUCUAGGAUUGACGUAAUGAUUAAUAGGGAUAGUUGGGGGCAUUAGUAUUCAAUUGUCAGAGGUGAAAUUCUUGGAUUUAUUGAAGACUAACUACUGCGAAAGCAUUUGCCAAGGAUGUUUUCAUUAAUCAAGAACGAAAGUUAGGGGAUCGAAGACGAUCAGAUACCGUCGUAGUCUUAACCAUAAACUAUGCCGACUAGGGAUCGGAUGAUGUUAAUUUUUUAAUGACUCAUUCGGCGCCUUACG